Molecule: long non-coding RNA, 557 nt
Organism: Dendronephthya gigantea
Lineage: Eukaryota; Metazoa; Cnidaria; Anthozoa; Malacalcyonacea; Nephtheidae
Exons: 3
Source: RefSeq, a predicted model, not a curated record
AUUAUAAUUCGUCCUGCUAUCCAGUGCAAAAAACGAUGACAGAAAUCGAAAUAGUUGUUCCAGAUCUUACCAAUAACAAACGAGAUUCUAGCCGCAAAAGGAAGUUUUAUAAAUAUAUGGUAUUGAAUCACACAUCUUGUAAAUGCGGCAGACUCGAUGAGAGGAACCUUUAUAACACCUCAUCCAACAACCUUGUGUCAGAGAGUUAUUUCAUGAAAAAUUAUCGCCAAAAUCCAAAUAAUUUGCAAAGUGAACGUAAUUUUUGCAACAAGUCGCAAACAAGAUAUAAACUUCAUCCAAACCAUAAUCUUGUCAUGUACUCCUCGAAAUAUUUGGCGUACAAACAGUGUCUGCCUGGUUGCGUAGUGAUAACCUUUGAGGAUAGAGUUAUUUUCACAGCACUUAUUACUGGAGAAUCUAAAAGGGUCGUCCUCAAAAGCGAUCUGAAAUGCAAAGCAUAUGACAAUCCAAUGUCAAGCGAGGGUUCCUGUUGAACAACCCUGGAGAUCCAUUUUAUCAAGUGAAAGGAAACGUGAAUGUUACUUGUGGAAUUGUGC